GGCAUUUUAUUUUAUUAGAGGAACCUGUUUUUUAAUCGAUAACCCACGAUAAUUUUCACUUUAAUUAAAAAUUUAUAUUUAGCCGUCUAAAGAACUAAUUUUAUUACAUUAUUCUAAAUAAAAAAUAAAAUGUUAGGACAAUGUGUAAUUUACAUUAAAGUAAAUAAAGUGUUAUUUAAAAUAAUUUAAGGAAUAAAUUGUAAAAAAUUUUAAGAAAAAGGAUUUUAAAGUAAUAUUAAAAUGAUAAUUUAUUAUUAAUAAACCAAUAAAUGUGCACACAUCGCCCGUC
This 289-nucleotide ribosomal RNA is filed under the name Hippasa holmerae. RNAcentral describes it as "partial 12S ribosomal RNA". Lineage: Eukaryota; Metazoa; Arthropoda; Arachnida; Araneae; Lycosidae. The record is from RNAcentral.